GUGGUAUUAGCUCAGUUGGUUAGAGCGUCUGCCUGUGGAGCAGAAGGUCGCCGGUCCGAGUCCGGUAUAUCACC
Molecule: transfer RNA, 74 nt
Filed under: Candidatus Shapirobacteria bacterium
Lineage: Bacteria; Candidatus Shapironibacteriota
Description: tRNA-His
Rfam family: tRNA
About the family: Transfer RNA (tRNA) molecules are approximately 80 nucleotides in length. Their secondary structure includes four short double-helical elements and three loops (D, anti-codon, and T loops).
Source: RNAcentral